This 148-nucleotide non-coding RNA is filed under the name Nomascus leucogenys (northern white-cheeked gibbon). Lineage: Eukaryota; Metazoa; Chordata; Mammalia; Primates; Hylobatidae. The record is from Rfam by way of RNAcentral.
GCUGGGCGUGGUGGUGCGCGCCUGUAAUCCCAUCUACUCGGGAGGCUGAGGCAGGAGAAUCGCUUGAACCCAGGAGGUGGAGGUUGGAGUGAGCCAAGAUUGUGCUACUGCAGUCCAGCCUGGGUGACAGAGCGAGACUCUGUCUCAA